RNAcentral lists this transfer RNA (71 nucleotides) under Candidatus Shikimatogenerans bostrichidophilus. Its description in RNAcentral is "tRNA-Gln". It matches the Rfam family "tRNA". Rfam says of the family: Transfer RNA (tRNA) molecules are approximately 80 nucleotides in length. Their secondary structure includes four short double-helical elements and three loops (D, anti-codon, and T loops). The record is from RNAcentral. Lineage: Bacteria; Pseudomonadati; Bacteroidota; Flavobacteriia; Flavobacteriales.
AGACUUGUUGUGUAAUGGUAGCACAUCAGAUUUUGAUUCUGAAAGUUUAGGUUCGAAUCCUAACGAGUCUG